RNAcentral lists this transfer RNA (72 nucleotides) under Paracoccaceae bacterium. Its description in RNAcentral is "Rhodobacteraceae bacterium tRNA-Gly". It matches the Rfam family "tRNA". Rfam says of the family: Transfer RNA (tRNA) molecules are approximately 80 nucleotides in length. Their secondary structure includes four short double-helical elements and three loops (D, anti-codon, and T loops). Further hydrogen bonds mediate the characteristic L-shaped molecular structure. tRNAs have two regions of fundamental functional importance: the anti-codon, which is responsible for specific mRNA codon recognition, and the 3' end, to which the tRNAs corresponding amino acid is attached (by aminoacyl-tRNA synthetases). tRNAs cope with the degeneracy of the genetic code in two manners: having more than one tRNA (with a specific anti-codon) for a particular amino acid; and 'wobble' base-pairing, i.e. permitting non-standard base-pairing at the 3rd anti-codon position. The record is from RNAcentral. Lineage: Bacteria; Pseudomonadati; Pseudomonadota; Alphaproteobacteria; Rhodobacterales; Paracoccaceae.
GCGGGUGUAGUUCAGCGGUAGAACGCUAUCUUUCCAAGUUAGAUGCCAUCGGUUCGAUCCCGAUCACCCGCU